GCUUGUCUCAAAGAUUAAGCCAUGCAUGUCUCAGCAUAAGCUUUUGCACGGUGAAGCUGCGAAGGGCUCAUUAAAACAGUUAUAGUCUGCUUGAUGGUUGUUUGUACAUGGAUAACUGUGGUAAUUCUAGAGCUAAUACAUGCAUCAAACCCCGACUUCUGGAAGGGGUGUAUUUAUUAGAUGGAAACCAAUGCGGGGCAACCCGGAAUAUGGUGAUUCAUAAUAACUUUCGGAUCGAUUUAUCGAUGCAUCAUUCAAGUUUCUGCCCUAUCAGCUUUGGAUGGUAGGGUAUUGGCCUACCAUGGCUUUAACGGGUAACGGAGAAUUAGGGUUCGAUUCCGGAGAGGGAGCCUGAGAAAUGGCUACCACAUCCAAGGAAGGCAGCAGG
Molecule: ribosomal RNA, 388 nt
Filed under: Ochromonas tuberculata
Lineage: Eukaryota; Chrysophyceae; Chromulinales; Chromulinaceae
Description: partial small subunit ribosomal RNA
Rfam family: Eukaryotic small subunit ribosomal RNA
Source: RNAcentral